AAGAGAGAGGAUUGCACAUCUGGAAAUGUUGGUAUUCGUCAUUCGAUAUUUUCAGCAACUGAAUUGAACAACACAUUUUGUUGUACAACGCUGUCUGGAAAACAUCUCCCUUCCCUCUGGCAGAAGAAUCGCAGUGUGUUUCAGUUGGACAGACUGGACAGAGCGCAGCCGACACAGCGACGGUGUGAGUGGAGCAGAGA
Molecule: long non-coding RNA, 200 nt
Organism: Oncorhynchus nerka (sockeye salmon)
Lineage: Eukaryota; Metazoa; Chordata; Actinopteri; Salmoniformes; Salmonidae
Exons: 3
Source: RefSeq, a predicted model, not a curated record